CAAAAAUAUUAUACAAAAAAUGUCAAACUAUUAAUUACUAUUUUGUUCACAAACUUUUCAAGUUACUAAUUCCCAAGUUCUUCAUUUUUUAAAUUAAUUCGUGGGACGGGGGCAUUGCUGGCUGCCCAGCAUUUUUUGCCCAUCCAUAGUUGUUCUUGAGAAAGUGGUUGUGAGCUGCCUUUUUGAACAGCUGCAGCCUACCUGCUGUUGUUGGACCCAUAAUACUGUUAGGGGAAUUCUGGGAAAUUGACCCAGCAACCGGCAGUAUAUUUCCAAGUCAAUUGUUCAUGACUAAAACCUUUAACAUUGCAUUACUUAAAGAUUAUGACAUGUUAAGAUGCUACAUCAUUAGAUCUCAACGAUCCAUCAUUAAUAUUUUCCCUAAAUCUCAUACAUCAAAUAAAUCCUUAAUAAUAAGUACAGAAAAUUCUACAGAUAUCGACAUAUCUGGAAGCAUCUGUGGAGAGAAAUGGGAUUAAUAUUUCAAGUCUGAUACGACUCUUUUUUGGACCUUCUGGUCCAGUUUCAAGUUCAGAUCAUGUGAAUGCAGACAGUCGGAAUACACAGAAACAGCUCCUUUGCGAGCAUUACUCGUAACUGUAUCUUGUUUGACUAAGAGAAAUCAAAGAAGAAAUCGCUUUCAUUCCAGCAGAGUCAUUGAUGGUGUGAAAAAGACAAGGAUGAAACAUCUGCCUCCAUCUUCAAUCAGAAGUGCUGGAUAGACAAUCCAUCUGGACUUCCUCCUGAGUCCCAGCAUUUAUCUCACCAGUCUUCAAUCAACUUAACUCACAUCAUAUGAUAUCAAGAAAUGGCUGAAGGUAUGGGAUUCAAUGGGCCCCAACGGCAUUCUGGAUGCACCGGUAAGGUUUUGUUCUCUAGAUCAACAUGAAUUCCUCAGGAUAAUGUUGUGGGGCCAACCAGUUGCUCUUUCUUCAAAGAUCGUCAUAAAGUAAGAGGAUGUUUUUGAUGAUUGCAGGUCAGUUCCAUUUGCAACUUCUCUCAUAAUAAAUCUCACCCUGUACUGCAUGCAGAAAUGCUCAGACAAUAUUUAAGCUAGAGCCGAUAGGUGUAUAGUAAUAUUCAUAUUACAGUAGCAUCAGGCAAUAAAUAUCUCCAGCAAAGUGCCAUCUAAACAUCUCCACAUUACAUUCAAAAGCAUUGGCAUGGUCGAAGACAUCUAUCGUCAGCUUCCUGGGUAGCAUCAUUACCCAGGAACUUAACUGCAGGAAUAUA
Molecule: non-coding RNA, 1233 nt
Organism: Chiloscyllium plagiosum (whitespotted bambooshark)
Lineage: Eukaryota; Metazoa; Chordata; Chondrichthyes; Orectolobiformes; Hemiscylliidae
Source: RefSeq, a predicted model, not a curated record